This 159-nucleotide non-coding RNA is filed under the name Bradyrhizobium sp. Its description in RNAcentral is "FMN sequence". It matches the Rfam family "FMN riboswitch aptamer (RFN element)". From Rfam's summary of the family: The RFN element is a highly conserved domain that is found frequently in the 5'-untranslated regions of prokaryotic mRNAs that encode for flavin mononucleotide (FMN) biosynthesis and transport proteins. Lineage: Bacteria; Pseudomonadati; Pseudomonadota; Alphaproteobacteria; Hyphomicrobiales; Nitrobacteraceae. The record is from RNAcentral.
CGAUGUUCUCAGGGCGGGGUGAAAGUCCCCACCGGCGGUAAGGGCCGAAAGGCCUAAGCCCGCGAGCGCCUUCCCCAAGGAUUUUUCUGAAGGGAAGGGUCAGCAGAUUCGGUGCAACUCCGAAGCCGACGGUCAAAGUCCGGAUGAAAGAGAACGGUC